UUACGGCCACAUCACGCUGAAACACGGGUUCCCGUGUGACCACGGAAGUUAAGCAGCUGAUCAGUACUUAGUUGACCGCUUGGGAAUAGCAGGUGCUGCAAG
This is a non-coding RNA of Acanthosepion pharaonis, 102 nucleotides long. Lineage: Eukaryota; Metazoa; Mollusca; Cephalopoda; Sepiida; Sepiidae. The record is from the annotation of a GenBank genome assembly.